GUGUCAGCCGCCGCGGUAAGACGAACCGUGCGAACGUUAUUCGGAAUCAUUGGGCUUAAAGGGCGCGUAGGCGGCGGUGUAAGUUGGAAGUGAAAUCCCAUCGGCUCAACCGUGGAAUUGCUCCCAGUACUGCAUCGCUCGAGGGGGAUAGGGGUUUGCGGAACUACCGGUGGAGCGGUGAAAUGUGUUGAUAUCGGUGGGAACGCCAGUGGCGAAAGCGGCAAACUUGACCCUUCCUGACGCUGAGGCGCGAAAGCUAGGGGAGCAAACGGGAUUAGAAACCCGCGUAGUCC
RNAcentral lists this ribosomal RNA (293 nucleotides) under uncultured bacterium. Its description in RNAcentral is "partial 16S ribosomal RNA". It matches the Rfam family "Bacterial small subunit ribosomal RNA", at positions 505 to 796 of the family's 1533-position model. The record is from RNAcentral.